RNAcentral lists this transfer RNA (74 nucleotides) under Chryseobacterium candidae. RNAcentral describes it as "Chryseobacterium sp. JC507 tRNA-Asp". It matches the Rfam family "tRNA". From Rfam's summary of the family: Transfer RNA (tRNA) molecules are approximately 80 nucleotides in length. Their secondary structure includes four short double-helical elements and three loops (D, anti-codon, and T loops). Lineage: Bacteria; Pseudomonadati; Bacteroidota; Flavobacteriia; Flavobacteriales; Weeksellaceae. The record is from RNAcentral.
GAUCAGGUAGUUCAGCUGGUUAGAAUGCCGUCUUGUCAAGGCGCAGGUCGCGGGUUCAAGUCCCGUCCAGAUCU